AAUAUUGGUCAAUGGGUGCAACCGUGAUCCAGCCAGGCCGCUUUAUUGAAGAAGGUCUUCUGUUUGUAAAGCACUUCUUGUUGGGAGAUAUGCCCCUAGACUAAUACCCUGAAGUUGUGACGUUACCAACAGAAUGAGUACCGGCUAUCUCUAUGCUAGCAGCCGCGGUAAUACAGAGGGUGCAAGCGUUAAUCGGAAUUACUGGGCGUAAAGCGAGCGUAGGUGGUUCAGUAAGAUGGGUGUGAAAUCCCCGGGCUUAACCUGGGAACUGCUUUCAUAACUGCUGAGCUAGAGUACGGUAGAGGGUAGUGGAAUUUCCUGUGUAGCGGUGAAAUGCGUAGAUAUAGGAAGGAACACCAGUGGCGAGGGCGACUACCUGGACUGAUACUGACACUGAGGUGCGAAAGCGUGGGGAGCAAAC
Molecule: ribosomal RNA, 421 nt
Filed under: uncultured bacterium
Lineage: Bacteria
Description: partial 16S ribosomal RNA
Rfam family: Bacterial small subunit ribosomal RNA
Source: RNAcentral